CCUACGGGAGGCAGCAGUGGGGAAUAUUGCACAAUGGGGGAAACCCUGAUGCAGCGACGCCGCGUGAGUGAAGAAGUAUUUCGGUACGUAAAGCUCUAUCAGCAGGGAAGAAAAUGACGUUACCUGACUCAGAAGCCCCGGCUAACUACGUGCCAGCAGCCGCGGGAAUACGUAGGGGGCAAGCGUUAGCCGGAUUUACUGGGUGUAAAGGGAGCGUAGACGGCAGCGCAAGUCUGAAGUGAAAUCCCAUGGCUUAACCAUGGAACUGCUUUGGAAACUGUGCAGCUGGAGUGCAGGAGAGGUGAGCGGAAUUCCUAGUGUAGCGGUGAAAUGCGUAGAGAUUAGGAGGAAUACCAGUGGCGAAGGCGGCUUACUGGACGGUAACUGACGUUGAGGCUCGAAAGCGUGGGGAGCAAACAGGAUUAGAUACCCUUGUAGUC
RNAcentral lists this ribosomal RNA (440 nucleotides) under uncultured bacterium. Its description in RNAcentral is "partial 16S ribosomal RNA". It matches the Rfam family "Bacterial small subunit ribosomal RNA", at positions 338 to 795 of the family's 1533-position model. The record is from RNAcentral.